UGGGUGCUCUCAGGGAAGAAGCCAAGGAAUGAAUGGGACAUGCAGCCAGACGUCUCCUUUCACCCUCAGCAGCUGGUGCCUGCAGUUCAGAGUGCUACUUAAUAGAGGCCAUGGUUUGCUCCUGAACUCGAGCCAGACGUUGGGCACAUGACACCAAGGCUGUUGACCCCGAAGGUGGCCAGAUGGGGGAAGCGCCAUACAGUGGUCACCAGCAACAUUUCAGGGGGAGGCAAAUUGGAAAAGAAAAGGCUGAUAAAGGUUGGUCU
Long non-coding RNA from Chelonia mydas (Green sea turtle), 266 nucleotides. RefSeq lists it as uncharacterized. The record is from RefSeq and is a predicted model, not a curated record. The transcript is spliced from 3 exons. Lineage: Eukaryota; Metazoa; Chordata; Testudines; Cheloniidae.